UGGUGGAGAUAUACGCAAAUCAGCAGUAAUUUAAGAGAAGGACCAACCACAGUGUGUGGGUUCACUAAUCAUGUGAUUAAAAACUUGUGUGGCAAUAACAACUGGGUUUAAAUAAAAGAGAAAAAAGAGAGCACGGUAUCAUUAGCACCAGCAAUAAAGAAAAGGAGACACAAACCUGGAGCGAGAAAGAGAGAGGGAAGGAGAGCGAGGGAGAACGUGCUCUCUCAAAGAACAACACCUGUCUGUAAUCCCACGUAGCCUGUGUUGACUUUGCCAUCAGGGCCGACGUGCAACGCCACCAGUUCUGACGAGAGCAGUGUGCGGGAAACAGAUUGGAGGGAACUGAUCAGAGGUGUUUGUGAUAGAGUAACAGAAUGGAUGUGCCUUAACUCCUGAGACUGAGAGAUUGUGAUGGAGGGUGACAGACACAGCAGUCCACACAAGGAUCUGGAGAUUGUGUGCACAGCUUCUGCCAAGCCUUUACACAUAGCCACUGUUGCUCUAGGUCCGUGUGGAUGGAUGCCCACCCUGUGGAGGAGGGGCUUCCUCGUGCCAGCUUGACUGGGAGCUGUUAGGUAAUGGUCAGCAGAUGCAAUGGCUGUCUGGCGAUAGAGAUUAUGUGACAACAGUGUUGAAAACUAACACACUUGACUGCGAAUAAAAAGGUAACAGUGAUGAAUGUCAUGAGGUAGGAGGGGGAAGGUUUCGAGUUUCGCCAGGUGUAUUUGGGCCUUGCCAAAUGCCACCUUCAGAGCAGAGAGGGUGAGCUGUUUUGCCGCCCGCCCAAUGAAUGCUAAUGAGAGCAUGUGUGUGUGUGUGUGUGUGUGUGUCUAAAUGUUAUUCACACCGGAUCAAACUAAGCCUACAAAGAGGUGCAAAAGCGAGGCUGGCAGACUACCAAACCAAAACACCCUGGAAGCACGUCAAUACAUUACAUUUACUUAACACAUGUAGCAGUGGAAAGUGUGUCAGCCACAAUAACCAUCAGUGCAUAAUGGCUUUUUUAGAAUUUUAUGUUCAUCUGCAUCAUAAACUGCAAAGCUAGCAGUGGCUGCUCUUUUUCACAUGAUUGGGUAUAUUGAGACAUGCCAAGGUUUACACGGUACACCAAAUGCUGCACACUGUUGUGUUUUUUAUUUUAGCUUUGGCUGAAAAUUGGCCUUGAAAAAAUGGUCCUUUUGUUCCUGUAAAGUUAAACGAAAUGAAAGAUGCCAAAUUUUGCUGUCACCUUCACACAUACCUCUUCAUUUGAUAUAAUCUGCUUUUGAAAAUAGUGGGUGGAAUAGAAGAGUGUGUGCUUUGCCUUAAGUUUCCCUACAGAUUUCUUUCUUCAGUCGAAAAGAAAAACAUUCCAGGAUUUUUCUCCAUAUAGUGGACUUCACCAGGCUACAAUGGGUUGAAAGUCUAAAUUGCAGUUUCAAUGCAGCUUCAAAGGGCUCUACACGAUCCCAGACGAGUCUUAUUGAGCGAAACGAUCAGUCAUUUUCCAAAAAAUAAAAAAUAAAUAAAAAUUAUAUAAUAUAC
Megalobrama amblycephala (Wuchang bream) is the source of this 1524-nucleotide long non-coding RNA. RefSeq lists it as uncharacterized. The transcript is spliced from 3 exons. The record is from RefSeq and is a predicted model, not a curated record. NCBI's taxonomy places the organism in Eukaryota, Metazoa, Chordata, Actinopteri, Cypriniformes, Xenocyprididae.